Molecule: ribosomal RNA, 465 nt
Filed under: uncultured bacterium
Lineage: Bacteria
Description: partial 16S ribosomal RNA
Rfam family: Bacterial small subunit ribosomal RNA
Source: RNAcentral
AUGAACGCUUGCGGCGUGCUUAACACAUGCAAGUCGAACGAUGAAGCCCAGCUUGCUGGGUGGAUUAGUGGCGAACGGGUGAGUAACACGUGAUUAAUCUGCCCUUAACUCUUGGAUAAUCCUGGGAAACUGGGUCUAAUACCGGAUAGGAGCGUCCACCGCAUGGUGGGUGUUGUAAAGAUUUAUCGGUUUUGGAUGGACUCGCGGCCUAUCAGCUUGUUGGUGGGGUAAUGGCUCACCAAGGCGUCGACGGGUAGCCGGCCUGAGAGGGUGACCGGCCACACUGGGACUGAGACACGGCCCAGACUCCUACGGGAGGCAGCAGUGGGGAAUAUUGCACAAUGGGCGAAAGCCUGAUGCAGCGACGCCGCGUGAGGGAUGACGGCCUUCGGGUUGUAAACCUCUUUCAGUAGGGAAGAAGCGAAAGUGACGGUACCUGCAGAAGAAGCACCGGCUAACUACGUG